CAGAGUUUAUCAUGGCUCAGGAUGAACGCUAGCUACAGGCUUAACACAUGCAAGUCGAGGGGCAGCAUCAUCAAAGCUUGCUUUGAUGGAUGGCGACCGGCGCACGGGUGAGUAACACGUACCCAACCUGCCGACAACACUGGGAUAGCCUUUCGAAAGAAAGAUUAAUACCGGAUGGUAUAGUUUUCCCGCAUGGGAUGAUUAUUAAAGAAUUUCGGUUGUCGAUGGGGAUGCGUUCCAUUAGGCA
RNAcentral lists this ribosomal RNA (247 nucleotides) under uncultured bacterium. RNAcentral's name for it is "partial 16S ribosomal RNA". It matches the Rfam family "Bacterial small subunit ribosomal RNA", at positions 8 to 247 of the family's 1533-position model. The record is from RNAcentral.